GGCGGUCCUAACGGAAUUCAGGCUUUAUCGAACCGGGCCAAAAAGCCUGGUUGAAAAACGGGCUUGAAAUAUUCUCCAACUGAAAGAAAAACAAAGAUAAGCUUUGAAUAAUACUCGAGACAUGGGAAGUUAAAGUGAAAUGAGUUGGCAGUGUUGUUACCUUUUAUAAUCUCCUGGGACCUUUCAAUGACAUAAGAGCUCAUUUCUGUAUGAUGGUAUGAGUUGCAAGUAACGUCAAUUCAAUAUACAAAAUAACAAAUCUAGGAACAGCAAAUCAGAUAUUGAACAAUAUACUAAACCAUAUUUUUCACCUGAACCGGGUUUUUACCAACAGUGUAUGAGAAGAAAAGUUGAUGGUUGUUUAGUGUCUUUAAAUGUUGUAAUAACACAACCUUUAUCUGUAACGCCCUCUUUGAAUUAUUUGAUUGUUGUAAUAAGUUUAGGAUAUAUUUAUAUGAUUAUGUGAUUUAUUAAGUGGAUUAUUUUAUUAUUUAGUGGAAUAGGAUUUGAAAAUAAAAUAAGAUUAAGUUGUGGGGGCUGUUUUGGAAAUUAGAUGAGUGAUAUUUUGUUAAGUUAUAUGUUG
This 583-nucleotide long non-coding RNA is filed under the name Medicago truncatula (barrel medic). Its description in RNAcentral is "long non-coding RNA (MTRU_LNC007648)". Lineage: Eukaryota; Viridiplantae; Streptophyta; Magnoliopsida; Fabales; Fabaceae. The record is from RNAcentral.